CGGCAGAACUAUUAUUUUCGUGAAAAUAUCCAUUUCUAAUGGACCUUUUCCGUUAUUACAUUAUAUUAUGAUUGAAAGUUGUGUAAUGUAUGCAAAGAUGGCUGUUAGUUUGUCAAAUGUAUGCACUCCUGAUACUGUCACACUUGAUUGAGUAAUAGCAAUAUGCAAGGCUUUGUGUGAAUUAUUUCAGUUCAGCCAAAAGCAUAAAUACCAUACCAACGGAGGCUUUUAGGAUAGGUUCUAAAAAAAAAAAUUAACAAAAAAUAAAUCAAAAAAGAAAUAAAACAAGAGAACAGCUGUCUAACAUAGGGCUUUAGGAAUUUGUAAAAACUCCAUACGUGCCCCCUUGAUAUUGGUUGUCUCUCUAAGUCCGUCAAUCAAAUUACGAGUUUGAUUCUGUGUAGAUUGGGGAUUGGGCUGAUGCCUUUGCUUCUUUGUUCGCAGGCAGCUUGCGGAGGCUGGUGUACAUGUUUUGAUGGCUGUGAGGAACACGAAGGCAGCUCAAGAGCUGAUUCAGCAAUGGCGGAAUGAGUGGUCUGGCAAAGGUCUCCCACUUAAUGUCGAGGUAUAAAGUGUUGGAACUGGUGAUGAAGAAGCUGCUGAAUCAAACAGAUACAGCAGAGUUUGUGGCCGCAUUUGCAGGGAUUUAAGACGCCAUCCACCAGAUCGGAGAGCAGAAGAAGCUAAAAAAGCAGUGCCCGACAGUUUCUUUGAAGGGAUCAGGAUCAUCUAGUUGAGAGCUACACAUUUGAGAGUAAAACUAAAAGCUGCGAUGUUGAAUCUGCCUGGUUGCAUUUUUGGAAAUUCUGUCUUCUUAGCAACUCAUAUUGUCCAUGUACAACAGUAUGAAACCUGAAACUAACAGUUUCGCUGACCAUGUCUUGAUAUAGUCAUUGGUAUUAAUUCUUUAUAAGCUAUGCAAUAUUGAUCGAUGUUAUGAACAAACCAUUUCUAUUUUUCUCUUCCGAGUGUAUUGUGUUUCUCUUAACCA
Brassica rapa (field mustard) is the source of this 991-nucleotide long non-coding RNA. RefSeq lists it as uncharacterized. NCBI's taxonomy places the organism in Eukaryota, Viridiplantae, Streptophyta, Magnoliopsida, Brassicales, Brassicaceae. The record is from RefSeq and is a predicted model, not a curated record.